Molecule: long non-coding RNA, 2404 nt
Organism: Mobula hypostoma (lesser devil ray)
Lineage: Eukaryota; Metazoa; Chordata; Chondrichthyes; Myliobatiformes; Myliobatidae
Exons: 3
Source: RefSeq, a predicted model, not a curated record
AGCAAGGCAGGAGCAGGAAAUAGUGAACUGGACAAGGACUGAGGACUAUGACUAGGCUGGGACCAAGGGUCUGGGCUUGGACUCGGAAUCGGCUCCCAGAACUAGAGGAGACAUGAAGAGGCUAGGGUAUGGACUCCGAGCCUGAUAUUGGGCAAGGACCCAGUACCUGGGUCUUGCCUUGGGCUCGGACCCCAGAACCAGGCAAGGACAUGACAUGGGCGAGGGAGAGGAGGAACAUGGGAACACAGAGCCUCGGUCUCGGGAGAGCAGGUACACGGAACCAUGGACACAUACGCAGAACACAGAGUCGGGACCCCUCCUUGGGUACAGGACAUAAGGGUGGGACUCACACACAGAACAGAGAGCCGGGACCCCUCCUUGGGUACAGGACAUAGGGCCGGGACUCAUGACCCCCCCCCCGCGGGGCAACGGCAGGACGGCUUGACUUACCCCGCAGAGGUGAGGACAAGACAAGACAAGACCAACACAAAUGAACACCAGACAGUACCUAUCUAGCUCCAGUGAUGGAACUAGACUGAAGUGCAGGCAGGGGCUGCAGACGAGGGCUAGAGGCGAGAGGGGCAGAGAAGGGAUUCAGACAGGGGGGUAAGACAGGAAUCACAGACCGCCAGGGCCGGGACUUGACUCGGAACUUGGAACAGUAGACAGCGGUUCUUGAUUCCCUCCGGCAGGUUACCUGAUGGACCCACCUCGGUGAGGAAACUUUGCAGGCUCUCUUUGGCGGGGUAACUGGACAGGGUUGCUCCGGUGAGGAAAGACGAAUUACCGGCACUCGCUUCGGCGGAGACUAGGCUUGCUCUGGCCAGAUGACAUCGGCACACCGUACCUUUGGUGACUUUGCAGACGCUUUCGCCCUGAACAGCUGAAAGCCGGAGACUAUAAACUACAGGUUCAGCCGAGAGACUAGCCGAACUAUCAUCGAGGUUCAGCGUGGAAAGGAGCUGUCAAUGUAUCAUCAUUUCCCCACACGACUGCGUCUGACACAGCCUAACUCAGAGUGGAGCGAUGAGUCGAGGAAAAGAAAAGCAAUUUGGACUGAGCUGGAGAGUUAAGGUCACCAGACCAGUGAGCGUGAAGGAGACUGAAGUGGGUCCUGUCUGAGGAGGUCCAGUUCUGCUCGGAACAGCCUUUUGGUUUAUGUCACAAAUCAUGUCAGCAACAUCCAGGAUCACAGCAAGAAUCUCACCCAUGUGUACCAUCUCAUUAUAGUGAUGUCCAAAGAUAAUUCACUCCUGACAUUGACACAGAACCAGACACUGUUACAGUCGUUGAACGGUGAAGGGGUGCAAGAUCUGGAGCUCCAGGAGUGAGUACAACACUGAGGAGCUCGCUGAGGAAACCAGCCCACAGACCUGGCUGGGCACGGCUAUGAAGAUGUUCUGCAUCUACAAAUUUGUCAUUGACACCACAGAGUCACAAAUAACAAAGGGUACAGGAAGGAGAGUGCUUAGUGACCUGGUGUCAUGACAACAACCGUUCCCUCUGUGUCAACAAAAGAGCUGUUCACUGACCUCAGGGUGAGGUGCACGUGCCCCGGUAUCAAUGGUGCUGAAGUGGAGAGGGCUGACAGCUUCGAGAUCCUAGGAGUGAGCAUCACCAAGAGCCUGUUCUCAUCCAACCACGUUGAUGCGAUGCCAAGAGAAUGCACCAGCAGCUCUACUUCCUCAGGAGGCUAAAGAAAUUCCGCUGCCCCCUUUGACCCUCACCAACGUUCAUUAAUAUGUCAUAGAAAGAAUCCUAUCCAGAUUGCAAUACAGCUUGGUACGGCAACAGUUCUGUCCAAGACCACAAGCUCAGCAUGUCUUCAGUGGACUCUGCACACUUCUCGCUGUCUCGGUAAAGCAGCCAAGGUAAUCAAAGACUUUGGACAUUCUCUCUUUUCCACCCUCCCGCCAGGCAGAAGAUACAAAGUCUCAGAACACAUACAUAACACCAGACUCAAGGACAGCUUCUAUCCCGCUACUAUGAUUACUGGACAGACAUUUUGUACAAUAAGAUGGACACUCGACAUCACGAUCUAACUCAUCAGGGCUCUGCACCUUUUCGUCUACAAGCACUGCACUGUAACUGUAGUUGUUAUGCUUUAUUGUGCAAUGAUAGUUUUAUCUCAGUGCUCCAUGUACAGAUUUGAUCUGUAUACAUGACAUGAUUGACUGAACAGUAAAGACAAGCUGUUCACUGAAUCUUGGUACAGUACUUGCAAAAAUCUUUGUCACGUAUAUAGCUAGAGUGCCGAAGACUUUUGCACAGUUCUGUAGUAACCUUAUGUACUGCACUAAACUGAUGUAGCAAAAAACAAAUAAAUUUCAUGAAUAUGUGUGUGAUAAACCCAAUUCUGAUAUGGGUCUCUUUUGUAGACUGAGAGAGGGAGGGGAGCAGGAAG